GGUAAAAAGCCGGAGGAAGGUGAGGAUGAUGUCAAGUCAGCAUGACCUUUAUAUCCAGGGCUACACACACGCUACAAUGGUCUGUACAAUGGGUAGCCAAGCCGCGAGGCGGAGCCAAUCCUGAAAGCAGGCCUCAGUUCAGAUUGCAGUCUGCAACUCGACUGCAUGAAGCCGGAGUUGCUAGUAACCGCAGGUCAGCAAUACUGCGGUGAAUACGUUCCCGGGUCUU
This 229-nucleotide ribosomal RNA is filed under the name uncultured Anaerolineaceae bacterium. Its description in RNAcentral is "partial 16S ribosomal RNA". It matches the Rfam family "Bacterial small subunit ribosomal RNA", at positions 1154 to 1382 of the family's 1533-position model. The record is from RNAcentral. Lineage: Bacteria; Bacillati; Chloroflexota; Anaerolineae; Anaerolineales; Anaerolineaceae.